RNA transcript from Nicotiana attenuata, 1461 nucleotides. It is a transcript of the gene named nicotinate-nucleotide pyrophosphorylase [carboxylating], chloroplastic-like, with no coding region annotated. The transcript is spliced from 11 exons. The record is from RefSeq and is a predicted model, not a curated record. Lineage: Eukaryota; Viridiplantae; Streptophyta; Magnoliopsida; Solanales; Solanaceae.
CUCAGCAAAGCAAUUUGCUACAAAAAUCCUUUCACACCCCAAAAUUUCAAUGUCUAAAGUUUUUCCUUUCACUGCAAUAGUGCAUCCUCAUGCAAUUACAGCUCCAAGGUUGGUUGUGAAAAUGUCAGCAAUAGCCACCAAAAAUGCAGUGGAGUCAUUAGUAGUGAAGCCACCAGCACACCCAACUUAUGAUUUAAAGGGUGUUAUUCAACUAGCCCUCUCUGAAGAUGCUGGGGAUUUAGGAGAUGUGACUUGUAAGGCGACAAUUCCUAUUGACAUGGAAUCUGAAGCUCAUUUUCUAGCAAAGGAAGACGGGAUUGUAGCAGGAAUUGCACUUGCUGAGAUGAUAUUCGCAGAGGUUGAUCCUUCACUAAAGAUGGAGUGGUCUAUAAAUGAUGGUGAUAAAGUUCAUAAAGGCUUGAAAUUUGGCAAAGUACAAGGAAAGGCUCACAGCAUUGUUAUAGCUGAGAGAGUUGUACUCAAUUUCAUGCAAAGAAUGAGCGGAAUAGCUACACUAACUAAGGCGAUGGCAGAUGCUGCACACCCUUCUACCAUCUUGGAGACUAGGAAAACUGCUCCAGGAUUACGUUUGGUGGAUAAAUGGGCGGUAUUGAUCGGUGGGGGGAAGAAUCACAGAAUGGGCUUAUUUGAUAUGGUAAUGAUAAAAGAUAAUCACAUAUCUGCUGCUGGAGGUGUCAGCAAAGCUCUAAAUUCCGUGGAUCAGUAUUUGGAACAAAAUAAACUUCACAUGGGGGUUGAGGUUGAAACCAGGACAAUUGCAGAAGUACGUGAGGUUCUAGACUAUGCAUCUCAAACAAAGACUUCGUUGACUAGGAUAAUGCUGGACAAUAUGGUUGUUCCAUUAUCUAAAGGAGAUAUUGAUGUAUCCAUGCUUAAGGAGGCUGUAGAUUUGAUCAAUGGGAGGUUUGAGACAGAGGCUUCAGGAAAUGUUACCCUUGAAACAGUGCACAAGAUUGGACAAACUGGUGUUACCUACAUUUCUAGUGGUGCCCUAACGCAUUCUGUGAAAGCACUUGACAUUUCCCUGAAAAUCGAUACAGAGCUCGCCCUUGAAGUUGGACGACGUACAAAACGAGCAUGACCGCCAUUACUUUUGUUGUAGGGUUGGAGUAAAACCAGCUGAAUGGCACAAAGUACAAAUAAGAAUCAUUUUACUAGUUGUCAAACAAAUAAGAUGAAACAGCAAAGGUGCAGGGGCAGAGCUAGAGUGUCGAGAGCGGGUUCGACCGAAUCCAGUAGCUUUGAUUCGAACCGUAGAUUUGUUUUAAAAAAAUUAUUGAAUAUGUAUAAAUUAUUAAUUUAGAACCCAUUAACUUAAGGCGAUUUGAAUCUCAAAUCCAUAAGCUUGAAAUUCUGGCUCGUGCCAUCCUUCCUUGACGUACUCCUAUGCAUAUUACAUUGAUUAAUAUAUAAGAAAGAAAGAGUAGUGACUUGUAUAAA